CCGCCACGCCGGAGGCCCGGAGAGACCUUGACAGUCCGCCGCCGCCAGGACGCCCGCUGCCCUGUCCCCGCCACUCCGCCAGGACGCCAGGUCAGCUGUUACCACUGACCAGCCGCCGGCGACUUGGAGUUGGAGAUCGAAGGACGACGGCCACAUCGGAAGCGUCGUGCAAUGUGAGUGAAAUUCGACCUCUUAAAAUGCAGAUAUAUAUAUCUAUAUCUAUGUGGGAUAUGUGAUUUAUACCAAUUUUGGCUUGUGAUUUAUGAUCUGUUCUUAUUGUAUUAGUGAAUGAUUAAUUGAUUAUAGUGUUCAAUUUUGAUUUCUGUAGAUGCCAGAACCAGAGGAUAAUAUUGAGUCACUGGCCACUGGGACUCAACUUGAAAGUUAGGAGACUCAGCCCAUGUCAAUGGUGCCAGUAGAGACUCAGACUCAGGUGCAAGGCGAAACUGAUGGCAAUAAAAAAGGGGAAGGGAUGGAGAAGGAGAAAGUAGAGAGGAAGGAGAUGGCUUCAAGGUCUGAGAUGUGGCAACAUUUUAUCAAGGUCAAGGAUGACAAAGGGUUUCUGAGGGCUGGAAGGUGCAAAUAUUGUCACCGUGAAAUUAAGGCUGACACAAGGGGACAUGGAACAUCUGCAUUGAAGAAACACUUUGGUACAUGCAAACGCAAUCCUCAUGUUUUCAACAAGGACUCGAAGCAAGGCACCUUGCAAGCAUGUCAUGGGGAAGCUCCUGCCACUUGGAGGUUUGAUCAAGAAGCACUUAGAGAUGCCUUUGCUGAGAUGGUAAUUGAAGAUGAGCAGCCCUUUUGUUUUGGUGAGAAGCCUGGCUUUAGAAAAUUUAUGUCCAAAGCAUGUCCUCGUUUCCAAGUUCCAUCUAGAAGAACUUGCACAAGGGACAUUGUACGCCAUUACUUUGAAGAGAAAGCCAAGCUCAAGAAGUUCUUCAAAGAUUCUUGUCAGAGAGUGUGCCUGACAACAGAUGCUUGGACUUCUCAGGUUCAAGAUGGAUAUAUGACUGUUACAACAACUUUCAUUGAUGAAAAUUGGAACUUGCAUAAGAAAGUAAUAAGUUUUUUCGUGGUAAAGGGUCACAAGGGGGAGGAUAUUGGGAAGAACUUGACAAGAUGCUUAGCUGAUUGGGGUUUGGAUAGAGUAAUGACUGUAACUGUGGAUAAUGCAAGUGCCAAUGACAGUGGUGUUGAUUAUUUGAGGAAGCAGCUACAGAAAACCAACAUUGCCAAGGGCAAGUAUUUGCAUAUGAGGUGUGCAGCCCACAUUGCGAAUCUAAUUGUAAGAGAUGGAUUGCAAGAAGUGGACCAAUCUAUUAAGUGUGUUAGGGCUGCUGUUAGAUAUAUCAAAAAUGGGACCUCAAGAUUGGUGAAGUUCAAAGAAAUUGCUCAAGAAGAGAAUGUGGACAGCAAAGCUUUUUUGAAACUUGAUGUGCCAACAAGGUGGAAUUACACGUAUUUGAUGUUGAAGGCUGCAAUUGUGUAUGAGAAAGUGUUUUUAAAAUUAGCUGAAGAUGACACAAAUUAUGUUAUUGAUUUGUCUGAAGUAAGAGAUGGUCCUGGGCAUCCUGAUGAAGAUGACUGGGACAAUGCAAAGAAGAUGGCACAAUUUCUGCAGCAUUUUUAUGACCUUACUGUUCGUAUUUCUUCUUCUCUCGAAGUCACUAGCAAUAGUUUCUUUCAUGAGAUAGGAGAAGUUCGUAUGUUGAUUCAAGAAUGGCUGAGCAGUGAAGAUUAUUUGCAAGUUUCAAUGGGGAAUAGAAUGAAAGAGAAAUUUGAUAAGUAUUGGGGACUUUGGCACACCAACAGCUAGGACAAUGAGAAAGGGCAGCAAUAAGAGCAAGAUAGGGAUAAAGGGCGAGGCAAAGGCAAGGGAAAGGAGAAGGAGAAAGAGAACAUCAAUUUAUUGAUAUUUGUGGCUGCAUUCCUUGAUCCAAGGUACAAGUUAUCUUUGUACACAAGGAUUAGUGUUGAAGAGAUAUUUGGUGAGGAAUCAGGUCAAUUGGUUUGGGCAUCAAUUACUACUUGUGUGACAGAGCUGUUUGAAGAAUAUAAGAACAUGUAUGCUCCAAAUGAAGAAUCUAUUCAAGUAGAUGAUGUUGAUAAAUCUAAGAGAGUAUGUAGAGGAAUGCUUAAAGAAAAGAUUGCCAAAAAGAUGAAAUUAAACAAUUGUUCUACCAGCAGCAACAAAUCUGAACUUGAGAAAUAUCUCUCUGAAGAAACAGAAGACCCAGAGUCAAAAAUGGAUAUUCUUGCUUGGUGGAAAGUCAAUUCAAACAGGUUUCUAGUUUUGGGUCACAUGGCUCGUGAUGUGCUUGCUAUACCCAUCACAACAGUAGCGUCGGAGUCCGCCUUUAGCACAGGUGGCCGUAUUUUGGAUGACUUCCGUACCUCUCGUACUAUGUUGUUUGCUGUGCAUUUACAGAGUGGAUAGAAGAAUAUGGCAGCAAAGGGAAAAAGAAUGAGCAGGCUGAGCAGCCAUCUGUGCCUGUCAGCAUAUCCAAGUCACAAACACCAAGUAGCAAUACUUGAAGGUAUGUGAUGUCAAAUAUAAAUGGAGUUUUUAUUAUGUUUUUCACAUAUGCUGUUGUGUGCACUCUCCACUGCCCAGAUUUGAUCUAUGAAUUUUGGACAGUUUGGACUGGAAGUUUGGAACUGGUUGCUGCCACUAGACGUCUAGACCUGGAGGCUGGAGCAUGGACCAUGGAGACAGCAUGACUGUGAACCAUCGUUUUGUUCUUGUGAAGUGUAAUGUGAUGGCACUUGUGAGUUGUGAAUUGUGAGCAGGCUGCAUGCAACAGGGAGUCAGGGAGCAGGCUGUCGAGAGUGACUGUGUGAGUGCAGACUGCAGAGUGCUCACUGGCUCACUGUGUGACUGUGUUUAUGGCUGUAGGAAGUAGAACCUAUUACCUAUGGCUGCGAUCUGUCAUCUGUGUGGCUGUGUUUAUGAAUGCACUGAAAUGUGACAUUUUGUU
This 2981-nucleotide long non-coding RNA is filed under the name Zea mays. RNAcentral describes it as "long non-coding RNA (ZMAY_LNC002187)". The record is from RNAcentral. Lineage: Eukaryota; Viridiplantae; Streptophyta; Magnoliopsida; Poales; Poaceae.